UACAUGCAAGUCGAGCGAACGGACGAGAAGCUUGCUUCUCUGAUGUUAGCGGCGGACGGGUGAGUAACACGUGGAUAACCUACCUAUAAGACUGGGAUAACUUCGGGAAACCGGAGCUAAUACCGGAUAAUAUUUUGAACCGCAUGGUUCAAAAGUGAAAGACGGUCUUGCUGUCACUUAUAGAUGGAUCCGCGCUGCAUUAGCUAGUUGGUAAGGUAACGGCUUACCAAGGCAACGAUGCAUAGCCGACCUGAGAGGGUGAUCGGCCACACUGGAACUGAGACACGGUCCAGACUCCUACGGGAGGCAGCAGUAGGGAAUCUUCCGCAAUGGGCGAAAGCCUGACGGAGCAACGCCGCGUGAGUGAUGAAGGUCUUCGGAUCGUAAAACUCUGUUAUUAGGGAAGAACAUAUGUGUAAGUAACUGUGCACAUCUUGACGGUACCUAAUCAGAAAGCCACGGCUAACUACGUGCCUGCAGCCGCGGUAAUACGUAGGUGGCAAGCGUUAUCCGGAAUUAUUGGGCGUAAAGCGCGCGUAGGCGGUUUUUUAAGUCUGAUGUGAAAGCCCACGGCUCAACCGUGGAGGGUCAUUGGAAACUGGAAAACUUGAGUGCAGAAGAGGAAAGUGGAAUUCCAUGUGUAGCGGUGAAAUGCGCAGAGAUAUGGAGGAACACCAGUGGCGAAGGCGACUUUCUGGUCUGUAACUGACGCUGAUGUGCGAAAGCGUGGGGAUCAAACAGGAUUAGAUACCCU
This 754-nucleotide ribosomal RNA is filed under the name uncultured Staphylococcus sp. Its description in RNAcentral is "bacterial SSU rRNA". It matches the Rfam family "Bacterial small subunit ribosomal RNA", at positions 52 to 788 of the family's 1533-position model. Lineage: Bacteria; Bacillati; Bacillota; Bacilli; Caryophanales; Staphylococcaceae. The record is from RNAcentral.